RNAcentral lists this ribosomal RNA (680 nucleotides) under uncultured Mortierellales. RNAcentral's name for it is "eukaryotic LSU rRNA". The stretch from base 215 to 368 matches the Rfam family "5.8S ribosomal RNA". Lineage: Eukaryota; Fungi; Mortierellomycota; Mortierellomycetes; Mortierellales. The record is from RNAcentral.
CUUGGUCAUUUAGAGGAAGUAAAAGUCGUAACAAGGUUUCCGUAGGUGAACCUGCGGAAGGAUCAUUCAUAAUAAGUGUUUUAUGGCACUUUUUAAAUCCAUAUCCACCUUGUGUGCAAUGUCAGUCGAUCUUCUUCAUGGAGAUCGGCCAAACAUCAACCAUAUCUUUUAACUCUUUGUCUGAAAAAUAUUAUGAAUAAACAAUUCAAAAUACAACUUUCAACAACGGAUCUCUUGGCUCUCGCAUCGAUGAAGAACGCAGCGAAAUGCGAUACGUAAUGUGAAUUGCAGAAUUCAGUGAAUCAUCGAAUCUUUGAACGCAUAUUGCGCUCUUUGGUAUUCCGAAGAGCAUGCUUGUUUGAGUAUCAGUAAACACCUCAAAGCUUUUGAUUAUUUUUUUUUGAAAGCUUUGGACUUGAGCAAUCCCAACACCAAUCUUUUUUAGAUCGGAGGCGGGUUGCUUGAAAUGCAGGUGCAGCUGGACAUUCUCCUGAGCUAAAAGCAUAUUCAUUUAGUCCCGUCAAACGGAUUAUUACUUUUGCUGCAGCUAACAUAAAGGGAGUUUGACCGUAUUGGCUGACUGAUGCAGGAUUUCACAAGGGUCGGUAACGAUUCUUGUUAAACUCGAUCUCAAAUCAAGUAAGACUACCCGCUGAACUUAAGCAUAUCAAUAAGCGGAG